UAUACAGUCUUGACGUACGCCUUUCCCAGUUUGGAACCAGCCCAUUGUUCCUUGUCCAGUUUUAACUGUUGAUUCUUGACCUGCAUACAGGUUUAUCAGGAGGCAGGUAAGAUGGUCCGAUAUUCCCAUCUGUCUAAGAUCAUUUUUUCACUGACCCUGUGAGGCGGGUGUUGAGCCCUGAGUGUCUUGCUUAUGGAGCAACACACUGUGGGGACAGUGCCAGGUGGGGAAUUUGACUGGGGUGGUACACCUGUCAAAGGUAACGCAGGUUUCCUAAGGUGAGCUCAGGGAGGACAGAAACCUCCCGUGGAGCAGAAGGACAAAAGCUCACUUGAUCUUGAUUUUCAGUAUAUAAUAGUUAAAACCUCCCCUUAUUCCGGAUUGCUGGCAUCAACUAAUCUAUUCUUCUUCCAAAUACAUUUGCUUUCUUUUAGGUUUUCAUAUUUCUGGACUCAUAUAACACGUAACCUUUGGCCAUUGACUUCUUUCACUCAGCAUAAUGUCUCUGAGAUUCAUCAGUAAUGUCGCAUGUUCCUUUUUAUUGUAUGCAGUAGUAUACUAAUAGUAGUUAAUAAUAUUUGCAAUAGUAACCCAUUAAUAGAAGAAUGGUUACUUUUAAAUCCAUUGGCUUAUUGAAGGACGUUUAAGUUAGUUUUAGUGUUAGAUGAUUAUGAAUAAAAUGUCUAUAAGCAUUCAUGUACAUAUUUUGUAUAACCAUAAGUUUAUAUCUCUUUAGAAUAAAUAGCUGAGUGUGAUUUCUGAAUCAUAUGAUAAAUUUAUGAUCAGAGAACAUGAUUGUAUAAUUACCAUUCCUUUAAACUAGUUAAUGUUUCUACUAUGAUACAUGAUGUGGUCUAUCAAGGUGAAUGUUCUAUGUGCACAUGAAAAGAAUGAGUAUUCUGCUGUUGUUGAGUGACCUGUUCCAUAAAUGUCAAUUUGUCCAUUUGUCUGAUGGGUUGUUCUGUUCUUCUGUAUCCUUAGGAUUCCUGAGAAAGGAGUGCUGAAAUCUAAUAAGAAUUGAUUGAGAGAAGAUUUACUUGAUGGACCAGAGCAAUGUUGGCUGUGGAACUGGAGUUUAUCUGGAGACUUUUCAACCAAGCUGCUAAGGAGAGCAAAGCACAAAAGCAUGAGUGCUGCCAAAGUCCUUCUGCCCACUCUCAGCUGAUGCUCUGCAAGCGCUUCUGUGUCUGAAGCUGUAUUCUUGAUGUAUCCGUGAAAAGAGAUGUACUCCAUGUGUACCUACUCCUCUGCCAUCUUGUUCCCAGCGGCAGGCAUAUUCCUAACUACUGGACCACCAGGGAAAUCACUCCAUUUCUUAAGUGAGUGUUGUAGGUAACAUUCUCUGUUGCCUCCGAAGACUUGCUUGGCUCCUUUCUGUGACUGAAACAUAAUUAAAAUAUUGGAAUCUUUACCUUCCCCAUCUUUUCUUGCAGGUAAUGUUUGACUUACUGAAACAAGCUGGAUAUUGAAGAGGACAAAAUUGGCAUACAUGCUAUCUUUGAGGCCAAGUUGAUUGGCACUAGUUAAACCCAAAGAAGGCUAUGUAUAGGGCUUCCCAGGUGGUGCUAGUGAUAAAGAACCUUCCUGCCAGUGCAGGAAAUGUAAGAGAAACUGGUUUGGUCCCUGGGUUGGGAGGAUCCCCCAGAGGAGGGCGUGGCAACCCACUCCAGUAUUCUUGCCUGGAGAAUCCCACGGACAGAGGAACUGGGCAGGCUAUAUAGUCCAUAGUGUCGCAUACAGUUGGACGUGACUGAAGCGAUUUAGCACACACACAUGCACAAGGCUAUGUAGAGUGAGGCACACCCAGGUUCUGGGGCACACCCAGAACCCACAGAGAAAAGAUAAAAUUUUUAGAAAAAACUCUCAAGGACGAAGACUUUGACCUAGAGAUGAAGGUCUUGGACUCAUUUCUCCAGCUUUUCUUACAAAUGACUCCCACCACUUUUUUUUGAAAUGCAAGAUUUUCUUUAUGUUGAUUAGAAGGGACUCAAGUCCAGGGCAAUUGAAAUGUUCAAUCAUGGCUAUGUGUUUUUACAAUAAAGACUCAGUGAAAUUUUAUGCUCCUGUGAGUGUGUCUUGAGAUGAUGAAUUUGUUGCUUGUUCUCAUUGAGUUUCUGAAAAUUUCUCCAACUAGACUGGUCUUUUUGUUCUCUACUCUAAAAAGCUCUAGGGAAGCCAUACCACCGAGCAGUAACUCUAAUAAUGGUACUAUAUUUAAUAUAAUGAAAUUUAACAAUAUGUGUGAAAGGAUAUGACAGAUUCAAAGAUCUAAAGUGAUAAUUAUACUUAUUAUUUAUUAAUCAGCCACCUUUCAUAAAGCUUCCUCUCUGUACCAAAAUAUUUGUUAAGUAAGGGACUUUAAUCACUGUAUUUCUUAUCUAUGUUCUUGAACUUGCAAAAUAGGAACAACAGCACUAUUUUACAAAUGAGAAAAUUGAGGCUUAUAGAGGUUAAAACAAUCUACCCCCAACUUACUCAUAAUUAUUUCACAAUGAUUAAAGAAUAUUAUUUGCAUGCACAUUGUAUGAAAGUGACUGCUACUGAGCCACUUACUCUUUUUGACCAUCAUCUGUGUAUACACACAGAUAAUUUUAAUAUUGUCAUUUCAAAAAAGAAGAGUGAAAUUCUCCAAAGGCUUUUAUUAAAAAAAAUAAUAAUAAUAAUCUUCCCAACCUCCUCCCAUUUUCUUUUUGCCUGAUCCAGCUUGAUCCCAUCCUGUGACUCAACAGUUAUUUCUAUCCUGCCCAACUGUUUGACUUUUACUUACACAAGCUCAGUCCAGAGUCCAGCUGAAUUCCUAGCAGAAUCAGGCUUAUUUCUAUCUGGCAGCUUCAAAUGUAAAAUACACAAGCACUUUUUAUCUUUCUCUUAACUAAUGGAAAGUUUCCUUUAUUUUUAAGCUCUCCAUACCUCCCAGAAACACACAAAGUUUUGUAAAUUUUUACAAAAUUUUCCAAAAUUUUUUACAAAAGCCUUUUAUAAGUAUUGGCCAGGCUCAGUAAAAUAAGUAACUGACUUUUCACCAUGUUGUUCAUUUGUCUGGACUUGUUGCCCACCCACAAGACCGAAGAGUGACCUAAAUCUAGGAACUGUUUUCAGCACAGCACUGAUCCAUGUGAGACGUUCCAAUAGAAUAAGGUCAUGUUAGGGAGACUUGUGUGUGCUGCUAGUCAGAAUUCUGAGAGUUCACCGCUUAUUUUAAAACUUGUCCCAUUGGAGUAUAACUUUCUUAUUUACUUUACACACAUUUGAAAUACUAUAUUAUGGUUUUUAGUCCAUAGGAGGGCAAUGUUGAGCUACAGGAAAAUCCUUGCAGUUUUUUUUUUUUUUUUUACAAAAGAACAUAUAGAAUGUAUUAAUUUAAAAAUUAAUGAACUGAAACAAAUUAACUGAUUUAAACAUACUACAAGAUGAUAGUUAUUUAAUAACAUUCCCACAUUGGAUACUGACUGGCUUCAUGUUUGUCAUACUGAUAUUUAAUUUGUAAAUUGAUGUAAAUUAUUCUUUUCACUCAAAGCCAAACCAUGGCUGUCUCUUUGGAGAAGGUUGUGUUCUCCUUGUGUAGCUUUUAUUUAUUUUAGUUAUUGGAAAUGCUUAAAUUAUUUACAAACAGAAUUUUUUUUUUAAACUGUUUUUGUUAAUGGUCUCCUGAUGAUAGCUCUGCUUGAAGAGAAAAGAAUUCUUAUAGAUCAAAUUUCUAAACUGCUUUGACAUCUUUCUUUGGGUCAGAAUUUGAGGUUCAAUUUAAAUGCCACCAUAAAGUUCUCAGAGCAAACAAUUAACCAAAUGUAAUGUUUAAAGUGAGUUACAAGGAAAAGGAAAUUAAAUUUCAGCCAAAUUUUAAGCUAUAAAAUUUGGUCAUGUAUCAGAAUUAUUUUCCUAAAAAGAGCCAUAAAUCAAUAUCACACACUACCAUUUCAACCUGUAUAAAAGCAAGUCUAUUCUGAAUUUUUAAAGCAAGUAUUGUAUGUAGAAUUUAAGUGUAAUUAUGUGUUUGUGUGAAAAGUGAAAGUGAAAGUCACUCAGUCGUGUUAGACUCUUUGAGACCCCAUGGGCUAUACAGCUCAUGGAAUUCUCCAGGCCAGAACACUGGAGUGGGUAGCCUUUCCCUUCUCCAGGGGAUCUUCCUAACCCAGAGAUCAAACUGAGGUUUCCUGCUUUGCAGGCAGAUUCUUUACCAGAUAAGCCACGAGGGAAUUGUUUGUGUGAGAAAAUGACAAAUUUUGUGGUUUUGAAAGCUUAUCAUACUCUCCUAGAUUGAAAAAGCAACUUGUCUUCUCUAAGUAUCUCUAUGUCCCAUUUACCAGGGCAUUGUGAUAGAAGUCUUAUUGUUGAUAACCUACCUCUCCAUUUCCGUGCAGAAGCAUGGUGCAUCUUGUCUGUGGGUUAGUUCUUGAGUCCAAGGAAGUAGCAAACUACUGGAUCAGUAACAAUAAAAGCCAACAUUUUAGAAAAGCUUACUGUGUGCCAAAGGCUGUUAUCCAAAUACUGUUAUUAAUUUAUUUACCCCUCACAACAAUGCUAUAAGUUCUAUUAUUAGCAUCACUUACUGGAUAAGGAAACUGAGCUAUAGAUUGAGCACAUUAUAGGUGUUCAAGGUCACAGGGCUUCCCAAGAGACAGAGCCAGGUACACUUUAGGGGACUUGCUCCUCAUCACUACUUCAAGGUAAAAAGCAGCAUGGAUGGGGUCUGCUCUGAUGGCCCCGAGGUAAAGAACCCGCCUUCCAAUGCAGGGAAUGUGGUUUGAUCCCUGGAGGGGGAGCUAAGAUCUCCCAUGCCAACCCCGCAUGCCACAAGUAGAGUGCAUGAGUGCCACAGUUAGGGCCACACGCUCUGGAGACCACAUGCCCAGAGGACCAAGACCUGAUGCAGCCGAAAAUAAAUUAACUAAUUUAAAAAACCUCAGAGUGGAUCAAAGAUUACAAGUAGUGAUGCAUGUGGUGUUUCAGAGUAAAGGGAAAAUAUAUGAAUGUUAGGCAAUAUUUAAAAUAUUUCCUCAGUAUCUUUUGUUUAAUAUGGUGCCUCUAGGUGGGUGUGGGUGGAUGUGGGUAGGUAAGUGCCAAAGAGGAACGUCAUUGUAAGACUGACUUUUUCAAUCUACCUGCAUGUCUUAACAUUCAUGAUGACAAGCUUUUGGUUUUUUUUUUUUUUAUAUGUUAAUAAUAUGAUAAAUGGAUUACAAUUCCCCAGAGGGUGGAAAUUGUGCCUUGAUAAUUUUCUGUGUCUUUUGUUACAUCUGAUCCAAUAGCACUGAUAUGUGAAAAUGAUGCAUUUGGAAAAAUAAAUAAUGGAUGACCAAAAAAAUAAUUACUCAGUGUUAAAAGGCAGGUAUGUAUACAGUCAAAUGCAGAAACCACUGGCACACAUCUUUGGUCCAUAGUUUAGAUCUGAGUAAUAUCUUUGGGGGAUUUAUUCUGUCUGUUUACACUGAGGAAGAAUAGUUUGGGUCUGAACUACUGUCUGGAUAGUUCACUUCAACUUUAUCAGUAGGUAUAUUUUUCUCUCUAGUUAUUUACUUUAAGAAAGAUCUCUGACUUCCCAUUUAAGAUAAUAUAAAAAUUUAAACCCCAUGCAAGUUUCUAAAUGAUUUUCAUCAGCAUAUAUGCAGAGAGAUCUAUUUGACUUUUUUAAUUUAAAAAAGUUCUUAUCUAGUUCUUAUCUAGAAGUAAGAAACACCAUAUACAGUAAUUCUUGUGAAAUUCUAGUCAAAUACCGAAUGUUUACCCCAAAUAGGGCAUACUUUUAUCCAUUCUAUGAAAUUUAGAACUCUAUAUAAAAACUAUUAUUGAAUUUCAAGAAAUUGCAAAGAGUAGUUUCUCAUGGCAAAGAAACCCUUCAGGGAGGGUCAACAUUGGUGCACCCCUAGGGGUGUGUAUGUAUGUAUGCGUUGUGUGUGCACAUGCAUGCAUGAUAAUGAAAACAAAAAUAAAUGCAGAUUAAAACACAAAGUAAAGGAUAUAGAUUUUACAGGAAGAAAAUGAGAAAAGAAAGAAAGAAAAAAGAAAGAAACUAAUUAGUGAAGGAAAAAGGAAGGAGAAUGGGAUGGAUUGUAGCAAUUUGUUCAGUAAUUUCCCCAUUUCCUAUUCAUCCUCAGCCCAUUAAUAAAGAAUUUUAAUUGAAUAUGUGCCACAAUAAAGCCUAUAGGUCAUUUUAAUGACUGCAGCUGUGUGAACACAUAGGGGAGGUAGUGCUGUCACUUAACUGGUCUUGCAUCUCAUUAGGCUGAAAGGUUAAUUUUCAUCUACCAUCCCAUCCCACCCAGCAGUGGGCACACAGACUUCCUUAAAAAACUCCCAUCCUCAGGUAUCUUUGUAAGGCAUGGAGAAAUAUGGAGGAAAUGGAUCAAAAUUCAAGAGAAGCAGAGAGAGAGAAAGAAGACAGAAGAAAAAUGGAAGAUGAUGAGAACUUCAUUUUAACGUUAUUAGGUUGAAAUUUGAAUUUGGUUACAUGAGAACAACUAGAGAUGAAGAGAUAUGUGUAAAAUCUUCACUACAUAACAUAAAAUAGUUUCCUCUUCUGGCCUCCACACUGCAUAGAUGUUUAAACAAAUCAGUUAAUAAUGACUUUGAGUGGAAUCAGUUCCAUCAUGUAAUUUAUUCCCAGAGACAUCGACUGAAGCUCAUUCCUCUAGAAAGAAAUCAAUACAUUUCUUGUUCAGAUGUGAUUGAAUCCAGAACCACUCAAAGCUGAAUGGAUCAGCCCUAUGGAAGGAGUGAGAGUAAUAAAACAAUUUUAUCUGUUGUAAUUUUACUAAUUUUAGUCUAAUUUCUAAUAACUCAGAAAUUCAGUGACUUUUCAAGGCUAACUGAAACAGCUACUGAUAUCAUU
Molecule: long non-coding RNA, 6829 nt
Organism: Cervus elaphus (red deer)
Lineage: Eukaryota; Metazoa; Chordata; Mammalia; Artiodactyla; Cervidae
Exons: 3
Source: RefSeq, a predicted model, not a curated record